RNAcentral lists this ribosomal RNA (365 nucleotides) under uncultured bacterium. Its description in RNAcentral is "bacterial SSU rRNA". It matches the Rfam family "Bacterial small subunit ribosomal RNA", at positions 29 to 422 of the family's 1533-position model. The record is from RNAcentral.
AGCGAACGCUGGCGGCAGGCCUAAUACAUGCAAGUCGAACGGAUCCUUCGGGAUUAGUGGCGGACGGGUGAGUAACACGUGGGAACGUGCCCUUUGGUUCGGAACAACUCAGGGAAACCUGAGCUAAUACCGGAUAAGCCCUCGGGGAAGGAUUAUCGCCAUUGGAGCGGCCCGCGUCUGAUUAGCUAGUUGGUGGGGUAAAGGACCUACCAAGGCGACGAUCAGUAGCUGGUCUGAGAGGAUGAUCAGCCACACUGGGACUGAGACACGGCCCAGACUCCUACGGGAGGCAGCAGUAGGGAAUCUUGCGCAAUGGGCGGAAAGCCUGACGCAGCCAUGCCGCGUGAAUGAUGAAGGUCUUAGGA